Molecule: ribosomal RNA, 1016 nt
Filed under: Wagneriana iguape
Lineage: Eukaryota; Metazoa; Arthropoda; Arachnida; Araneae; Araneidae
Description: SSU rRNA
Rfam family: Eukaryotic small subunit ribosomal RNA
Source: RNAcentral
UCGUCGCCGAGCGUUCAGGCGGUUAUUCUUGAUGAUCUUCACCGGUUGUCUCGGGUGACCGCCAAGUUUACUUUGAAAAAAUUAGAGUGCUCAAAGCAGGCGCGACGCCUGAAUAAUUGUGCAUGGAAUAAUGGAAUAGGACCUCGGUUCUAUUUUGUUGGUUUUCGGAACACGAGGUAAUGAUUAAGAGGGACAGACGGGGGCAUUCGUAUUGCGACGCUAGAGGUGAAAUUCUUGGACCGUCGCAAGACGAACUACUGCGAAAGCAUUUGCCAAGAAUGUUUCCAUUAAUCAAGAACGAAAGUUAGAGGUUCGAAGGCGAUCAGAUACCGCCCUAGUUCUAACCUUAAACGAUGUCGAUUAGUGUUCCGCCUGUGUUCCUCAAAUGACACGGCGGGCCGCUUCCGGGAAACCAAAACUUUUGGAUUCCGGGGGAAGUAUGGUUGCAAAACUUAAACUUAAAGGAAUUGACGGAAGGGCACCACCAGAAAUGGAGCCUGCGGCUUAAUUUGACUCAACACGGGAAAACUUACCCGGCCCGGACACAGGAAGGAUUGACAGAUUAAGAGCUCUUUCUUGAUUCUGUGGGUGGUGGUGCAUGGCCGUUCUUAGUUCGUGGGGCGACUUGUCUGGUUAAUUCCGAUAACGAACGAGACUCUAGCCUACUAAAUAGACGUUCCGAUCCUCUUGAGUCGGACGUUCUUCUUAGAGGGACAAGCGGCGCUUAGCCGCACGAGACAGAGCAAUAACAGGUCUGGGAUGCCCUUAGAUGUCCGGGGCCGCACGCGCGCUACAUUGAAGGAAUCAGCGUGUGCUUUCCCGGUCCGAGAGGACUGGGUAACCCGUUGAACCUCCUUCGUGCUGGGGAUUGGAAUUUGUAAUUAUGUUCCAUGAACGAGGAAUUCCCAGUAAGCACGAGUCAUCAGCUCGUGUUGAUUACGUCCCUGCCCUUUGUCCACACCGCCCGUCGCUACUACCGAUUGAAUGAUUUAGUGAGGUCUUCGGACUGGCGCUCG